AUCAAGGAAGAGAAUAAAUCCCACAACCAACACCCAAAGCUGGCAUUCUAAUUAAACUAUUCCUUG
Molecule: transfer RNA, 66 nt
Filed under: Eospalax fontanierii baileyi (plateau zokor)
Lineage: Eukaryota; Metazoa; Chordata; Mammalia; Rodentia; Spalacidae
Description: tRNA-Pro
Source: RNAcentral